CUACGGGACGCUGCAGUGGGGAAUAUUGGACAAUGGGGGAAACCCUGAUCCAGCAAUGCCGCGUGUGUGAAGAAGGCCUGCGGGUUGUAAAGCACUUUCGGUUGGGAGGACUGCUUCUAGCACUAAUAUUGUUGGAAGUUGACGUUACCUUCAGAAGAAGCACCGGCUAACUCCGUGCCAGCAGCCGCGGUAAUACGGGGGGUGCAAGCGUUAAUCGGAAUUACUGGGCGUAAAGCGCGCGUAGGCGGCUAGAUCAGUCGGGUGUGAAAGCCCCGGGCUUAACCUGGGAACUGCAUCCGAUACUGUCUAGCUUGAGUACAGGAGAGGAGAGUGGAAUUCCACAUGUAGCGGUGAAAUGCGUAGAUAUGUGGAGGAACACCAAUGGCGAAGGCAGCUCUCUGGCCUGAUACUGACGCUGAGGUGCGAAAGCGUUGGGAGCAAACAGGAUUAGAUACCCGGGUAGUC
Molecule: ribosomal RNA, 465 nt
Filed under: uncultured bacterium
Lineage: Bacteria
Description: partial 16S ribosomal RNA
Rfam family: Bacterial small subunit ribosomal RNA
Source: RNAcentral